This 1711-nucleotide unclassified non-coding RNA is filed under the name Hevea brasiliensis (rubber tree). Lineage: Eukaryota; Viridiplantae; Streptophyta; Magnoliopsida; Malpighiales; Euphorbiaceae. The record is from RNAcentral.
UCCACGUAGUUCUACAAUUUCUACAAAAAAAAAAAUCAACAGAACUCAAACAGGAUGACCAAAUUUUGCAAGACAAGUAGUUACAAAGAUAUCAUGCUAUUUCCAUAGCUCUUCCAUGUGAUUCUGUCAACUUCCAAACGUCCAGCGUUCCAAUUCCAUCACCAGUGAAAAAGAGACCUCCAGGACCCGUCUGAAUUGUUCUCACUUCGCUUUUCGAAAAAAUCCUGCCCCUCUCAAUGAAUGUUGGCAGUUCGUACAGGUAAACAGUAUUGUCACUGCAAGAGCAAAGCAAAAUUGGUUUUGCUUCUGCAUCAGGCAUCCCACAAAGAGCAAUAGCGCCAUGUUCCUCAUUAUGUGUGUAAAUCACGUCCAAGUUACCCUCUUCAGUAAAAGCCCAUGCUUUUAUUGUCUUGUCUAAUGAACAAGACAGUAGAUAUUGAUCCCAACAAAUAAGAGACGUUACAGCAUCAUUAUGACCACUCAAUGUAUGAACACACUGUAAAGUGUCGAGGUCCCACGCCCUUAUAGUAUUGUCCACAGAACCAGAGUAUAGCCUAUUUCUUCCAAUGGUCAAGCAUAUAACAGCACUGGUGUGACCUUUCAUAGAUGAGGCCAGUUCAAAAGGAUUUGGGUUCUUAGCACUCCCUUUCCAAGCCAAAAUGGCACCAUCCUGUGCCCCCGCAAAAAGCAUAUCAACAACAUCAGCUACAGCUAUAGCAUUAACUUGCCCAACUGGCCCAUCGAGAUUAAAUUCAGCAGCUGUCUCAAUGUUCCAUGCCUUAACAAUAUUUGGCAAGCCUACAAAUAUCCAGGGGCCUUCACUGAUUAAAGCCCCAAUUUUGACACCAACAUUUAUCACUCUUGUUGAUUGACCAGUAUUGCAAUCCCAAACAUGUACUGUUCCAUCACUACUACUCGAGAAAAGCUUGUCAGAUCUUGAUGGAAGAGCAAUCCCAGAGACAGCCUGUAUGUGCCCCUUGAGCUUUGCCAAUGUCGAAAACCAAUCCCCAUAAAACCAUGAAUGCAAGAACUGGCACCCAUCUUCUUUAUCACAUUUGUCUGACAUCCAGUUCUCACAUGCCGUUUUUGAACACUCAAUAGUUUUUUCUUCAGAAGCAUUGCCUUCAACAACCAGAACUGAUGAAUUAGAGGAUGGUUUUAUCUUCUCCAAAUUCAUUGCCUUAGUGCCAGAACUGGGGCUCUCACGAGUGCAUUUAUAUUCAGACCCACCACCUCCACCUCCACUAUUUGAAGCCAAAGAAUUCCCAGGAUUGGGGCGUUUCCUAGGUGGAUCCUUAAUAACAUGAUUGGUGCUAUUCUGAGCAGUUUUAACUUCAGAUCCAUCACUCAAUGCCAAUGAAUUUUUGAGGCCAUGGCUAGGGCUCCUAAUCGAUUGUUCNAGAUUGGGUUGCUCAGAUGUUCUUCGAUAAACAUUAGGAGGUGGCAAUUCUCUGUGCAUGAACCUACAGGGGUUCCUAUUACACUUUCCCAUCAUCCAGUAACGACAAACAACAUUGUUGCGCGCAGGUCCUCCUCCAAGUCGUGAAUGAAUGGUCGCAAUCUUCGCAUCCAUGCUGUGACCAACAAGCACAAUAGCAAGUGGAGAUUCUCCAUUCAUUUCCUUCAAUACAGCCAAAACAUCAUUGCACAUGGUCCCAAUGGAUAGGUCAAGAUCAUUUUCCGUGGAUGUUUUCCCAUGUCCUCUCAAGUC